GCGGGUGUAGUUUAGUGGUAAAACCACAGCCUUCCAAGCUGCCGUCGCGAGUUCGAUUCUCGUCACCCGCU
This 71-nucleotide transfer RNA is filed under the name Enterococcus rotai. RNAcentral describes it as "tRNA-Gly". It matches the Rfam family "tRNA". Rfam says of the family: Transfer RNA (tRNA) molecules are approximately 80 nucleotides in length. Their secondary structure includes four short double-helical elements and three loops (D, anti-codon, and T loops). Lineage: Bacteria; Bacillati; Bacillota; Bacilli; Lactobacillales; Enterococcaceae. The record is from RNAcentral. RNAcentral also lists the same sequence under 5 other names.